AACGAACGCUGGCGGCAGGCUUAACACAUGCAAGUCGAGCGAGACCUUCGGGUCUAGCGGCGGACGGGUGAGUAACGCGUGGGAACGUGCCCUUCUCUACGGAAUAGCCCCGGGAAACUGGGAGUAAUACCGUAUACGCCCUUUGGGGGAAAGAUUUAUCGGAGAAGGAUCGGCCCGCGUUGGAUUAGGUAGUUGGUGGGGUAAUGGCCCACCAAGCCGACGAUCCAUAGCUGGUUUGAGAGGAUGAUCAGCCACACUGGGACUGAGACACGGCCCAGACUUCCUACGGGAGGCAGCAGUGGGGAAUCUUAGACAAUGGGGGCAACCCCUGAUCUAGCCAUGCCGCGUGAGUGAUGAAGGCCUUAGGGUUGUAAAAGCU
RNAcentral lists this ribosomal RNA (379 nucleotides) under Paracoccus marcusii. RNAcentral describes it as "bacterial SSU rRNA". It matches the Rfam family "Bacterial small subunit ribosomal RNA", at positions 29 to 432 of the family's 1533-position model. Lineage: Bacteria; Pseudomonadati; Pseudomonadota; Alphaproteobacteria; Rhodobacterales; Paracoccaceae. The record is from RNAcentral.